RNAcentral lists this ribosomal RNA (230 nucleotides) under uncultured bacterium. Its description in RNAcentral is "partial 16S ribosomal RNA". It matches the Rfam family "Bacterial small subunit ribosomal RNA", at positions 334 to 580 of the family's 1533-position model. The record is from RNAcentral.
UAUUCCUACGGGGCGCAGCAGUGGGGGAUAUUGCACAAUGGGGGAAACCCUGAUGCAGCGACGCCGCGUGUGGGAAGACGGUCCUCUGGAUUGUAAACCACUGUCCCCAGGGACGAAGAUGACGGUACCUGGGGAGGAAGCUCCGGCUAACUACGUGCCUGCAGCCGCGGUAAUACGUAGGGGGCGAGCGUUGUCCGGAAUUACUGGGUGUAAAGGGAGCGUAGGCGGGG